RNAcentral lists this ribosomal RNA (711 nucleotides) under Bacteroides xylanisolvens. RNAcentral describes it as "bacterial SSU rRNA". It matches the Rfam family "Bacterial small subunit ribosomal RNA", at positions 30 to 769 of the family's 1533-position model. Lineage: Bacteria; Pseudomonadati; Bacteroidota; Bacteroidia; Bacteroidales; Bacteroidaceae. The record is from RNAcentral.
UGAACGCUGGCGGCGUGCCUAACACAUGCAAGUUGAGCGAUUUACUUCGGUAAAGAGCGGCGGACGGGUGAGUAACGCGUGGGUAACCUACCCUGUACACACGGAUAACAUACCGAAAGGUAUGCUAAUACGGGAUAAUAUAUUUGAGAGGCAUCUCUUAAAUAUCAAAGGUGAGCCAGUACAGGAUGGACCCGCGUCUGAUUAGCUAGUUGGUAAGGUAACGGCUUACCAAGGCGACGAUCAGUAGCCGACCUGAGAGGGUGAUCGGCCACAUUGGAACUGAGACACGGUCCAAACUCCUACGGGAGGCAGCAGUGGGGAAUAUUGCACAAUGGGCGAAAGCCUGAUGCAGCAACGCCGCGUGAGUGAUGAAGGCCUUCGGGUCGUAAAACUCUGUCCUCAAGGAAGAUAAUGACGGUACUUGAGGAGGAAGCCCCGGCUAACUACGUGCCAGCAGCCGCGGUAAUACGUAGGGGGCUAGCGUUAUCCGGAUUUACUGGGCGUAAAGGGUGCGUAGGCGGUCUUUCAAGUCAGGAGUGAAAGGCUACGGCUCAACCGUAGUAAGCUCUUGAAACUGGGAGACUUGAGUGCAGGAGAGGAGAGUGGAAUUCCUAGUGUAGCGGUGAAAUGCGUAGAUAUUAGGAGGAACACCAGUUGCGAAGGCGGCUCUCUGGACUGUAACUGACGCUGAGGCACGAAAGCGUGGGGAGC